UAAAUUGGAGCUAAAAUCAUCUUUUCUUUGAAAGGAAAAAAUUAUACUCCCUCGAUAGGACCUCAAUAGAGAAAAAGUGUUGCGAUAUAUAUCGGAACAGUUUUACUGUGCUGAUAUAUAUCGCAAAAGUUUUUUUCUAAUGAAACUGUAUAGAGAUUUCUGUGUUGAUAUAUCAUAUCGUAACAGUUUUGUAAAAUAUCAGCACAGAUUUUGUAGUAUUAAUGUGUGUUACCACGUUUAACCCUUAGCGUGCUGGCGGCAAGUGUCUAUGCCUUUGCGACCAGUGCAGACAAAGAUCAGCCUGCACAUCCGUGCAGUCUGAUCAUAGUCUGCACUGUUCACUAUUUAGUCUGUAAAUUUUCAGUGAACACCCCUUUUAACAGUUAAUGGUUCUGUCCAAAUUGGAACAUGGACAAGUUCAUUAUAGAAAUUUAGCAGGGUAAGGGUUAACAUACUGCAAAGAUCAAAGGAAAACUGCCGCACUAUGCAAUAAUGAUUAUUAUUCAGAGUAAAAGACUCAAAAAAUAUUUCAGCAAAUAAUGGUUAUUAGAAAAUAGUUAAAAUAAAGAAAAUGUACAGAAUUACGUACUUUCAAGAUAAAAGCUAUAACUGACACGUAACGUCAUGACGUCAUUUUAAGGCAACAUUGUUUUGAAGCGUUUCUGCAGCAAUUUAUUCAUUAUUUCUGCAUUAUUAAACCAUAAAGCAUCAGAUCGAAGACAAGUUCAUGAUUUGUUUUCAGAAGAAUGAAUAUACAAACACAUUUAGUUUGUCGUUAACGUCGUCGUAAAUCGUCAUGUUAGCUUCUGGUUGGACAUGCGCACAUACAAAUAUGAAGGUAAUCUACCUCCUUAAACUAACAGAAAAGGUUUGGUGCUCUCUAAACCCUGAUAAAGAAAUACAUAUUUAUUGAAAUAUUGAAAUACAGGUAUAACAUUUCUUCCUUAAUUAUUUUUAUAGAAGUCUUCAGACAUAAGUAAAUUAUGGCUAUGUUAUCAAUAUAGGAAGUAAAUUCCAUAACCAAAUAAGGUUGUAAAACCUAAGUCUUCUUACAACCAGGAAGUACUUGUCUUAUAAAUCUAGUUCAUACAUAAUACAAUACCGUCAACUUCAUAAUUUCUCUCUACUUUUUUCAUCCUAGUAAAAAUUUUUGAUUUUACCAUAGAAAGUUUUCAAGAAAGAGGAUAAUAAGUGGUCAUACUGACUAUACAGGAAACAUAACUCUUGUUAGUUUUUUAACUCUGGUCAUAUCAAAAUGAUUGUUCAAAUCACAGAACAAUUCACAUCAGAGGAUAAGGAAGUCAAUAAAAUUUAUUUAUUGUUCUAAAGUAACAUUUAUGUUUCAAGUGGCACAAACUUUGAGAAUUGUGAAAUAAUAAAAUAAAUAUACUGCAAUAAUAAGGACAAAGAUAAAUAGCAGUGACCAGGAAUAGUUGGGCCACAGGCUUGCAGAUGGUUUAGGAGAGUCUCAUGUACUAGUAAGCUGGGGACACUGUCUUUAAAAUUGACAUUUCAACUUUGGCCCAUAUUGGGGCACCAGAUUUUGUUUCAGAACACUACAAUUACUUUUUACAUUAGUUGCGGAGUAAAUUCUAUAGAAUAAGUUUGAAGUAUCACCCUAAAUAUUGCCCUACAGCAAGAUAAAUAGAUAUUUAAAUACAUAUCUAUACAUGCUGUGUAUGCUUCAACUACCUCAUAAAAGCAGGUGUUACAUUAUGGAAUCUGAUAUCAAAAUAGUUGUCAGAUUACUCAAUUAAAUAUAAUGCUCUCACAUCUUUUUUAUUAUAACCUUAAAUUUAUUUGGUUUCAGAUUAUUUUAAGCGAGUACUGAGAUACUAGCUUACAUACAAAACCUUCUAAGUCGAAAAAAGGCCAUAAUUUUGUAAAAAAGAACAUACGGACAUGUCCAAUAACUACUAUUCUUUGAAUAAUCGAGAUAAAAAUUACAUAAGUGACAAUAUUGUAUGGAUUUUCUGUCUGUCUGACAGUACAUUGGAUAUAAAUUUACUCAGAGCAGAUUCUGACAAUGCACUGGCUACACACUGGCAAUAUACCCAUCUUAGCAAUUUUCACAGCAAAACAAAUAUUACAAGACACCUUAUCAAAAUGGCCGAGUAGGUAUUGCAUUUUUCCCUCCAAAACUAUUUUCAGUCAGUAGUUUUCCAGCAUUGAUGGGCACAUAGUAAAGGUCUGGAAAUAAACUGACAAGUACAUGGACACAUGAUGGUUAUUCAGUGGCAACACUCUGGAUCAUUUAUUGUCAGCUCUGGAAAUAGGCUGGCAAGUAUCUGGAUUUAAGAGUAUUAUUCACUGGAAACAAACUGGCCAUAAACUGACCAUACACUGACAAUAGGGAAGCAAAAACAGAUGCAGGGAGUGAAUUAGCAUCAUUACAAGAAAUACCAGAGAGAAGUAUUUUGGCAACAUCUAGGUGUUUAUGAGUCUUUCAGAACAAUUGUAUAUCAAUUAUGUCUAAAAAAUCUCAUAGUUACCUUUGCCUGGGAAACAUACUGUCUGGGAAUGGCUACUUUAUAUGUAAUGACAUGAUGGUCCUCAUGCAAUGUGAAAUGUACUGUAAUCUAUGCGUAGCGCUUAUAAGAUAUGAUUUUGAUCAGACUGUAAAGAUCCUUAACCCUUACCCUGCUAAUUUCUAUAAUGAACUUGUCUAUCUUUCAAUUUAGACAGUAUCAUUAACUGUUAAAAAGGGUGUUUACCAAAAAUAUACUGACUUAAUGGCGAUCCGUGCAGUCUGAUCAUGAUCUACACUGGUAGCAAAGGCAGAAUAAAUUGUGCCCAGCAUGAUAAGGGUUAAAAUCAAAUUACUGUACAUGACAACUGCAUGUGCAUGACAUACUUAUUUCCUUAUAUAUGUGAUGAAAUGUAUCCAAUCAACAUGAUCAAGCUAAUUA
This is a long non-coding RNA of Mercenaria mercenaria, 2909 nucleotides long. RefSeq lists it as uncharacterized. The transcript is spliced from 3 exons. Lineage: Eukaryota; Metazoa; Mollusca; Bivalvia; Venerida; Veneridae. The record is from RefSeq and is a predicted model, not a curated record.